This 309-nucleotide ribosomal RNA is filed under the name uncultured archaeon. RNAcentral describes it as "bacterial SSU rRNA". It matches the Rfam family "Archaeal small subunit ribosomal RNA", at positions 526 to 834 of the family's 1478-position model. The record is from RNAcentral.
CGGAUUGGCAAGUCCCUUGUGAAAUCGGACGGCUUAACCGUUCGGCGUGCAAGGGAAACUGUCGAUCUUGGGGUUGGCAGGCGUCAAGGGUACUCCAGGGGUAGCGGUGAAAUGCUAUAAUCCCUGGGGGACCGCCAGUGGCGAAAGCGCUUGGCGAGACCAAACCCGACGGUGAGGGACGAAGGCCAGGGGAGCAAACCGGAUUAGAUACCCGGGUAGUCCUGGCUGUAAAGGAUGUGGGCUAGGUGCCUGGUGUUCCUCGAGAACGUUAGGUGCCGAAGGGAAGCCGUUAAGCUCACCGCCUGGGAA